GGAGGAAGCAGGGGAUCGCAAGACCUUGCGCUUUUGGAGCGGCCGAUGCCUGAUUAGCUUGUUGGUGAGGUAAAAGCUUACCAAGGCUUCGAUCAGUAGCUGGUCUGAGAGGACGGCCAGCCACACUGGGACUGAGACACGGCCCAGACUCCUACGGGAGGCAGCAGUGGGGAAUUUUGGACAAUGGGGGCAACCCUGAUCCAGCCAUGCCGCGUGAGUGAAGAAGGCCUUCGGGUUGUAAAGCUCUUUCAGCCGGAACGAAACGGUUACGGUUAAUACCCGUGACUAAUGACGGUACCGGAAGAAGAAGCACCGGCUAACUACGUGCCAGCAGCCGCGGUAAUACGUAGGGUGCGAGCGUUAAUCGGAAUUACUGGGCGUAAAGCGUGCGCAGGUGGUUUUGUAAGUCAGAUGUGAAAUCCCCGGGCUCAACCUGGGAACUGCGUUUGAAACUACAAGGCUAG
Molecule: ribosomal RNA, 464 nt
Filed under: uncultured bacterium
Lineage: Bacteria
Description: bacterial SSU rRNA
Rfam family: Bacterial small subunit ribosomal RNA
Source: RNAcentral